GUACACGCUGUGACUAGCAUAUCAAUAAGCGGAGGAAAAGAAACUAACAAGGAUUCCCUCAGUAACGGCGAGUGAAGCGGGAAGAGCUCAAAUUUGAAAUCUUGAAAGGUCACCUUUCACGAAUUGUAGUUUAAAGAAGUGUUUUCUGUUACGAUCGUAAUAUAAGUUCUUUGGAAUAGGACAUCACAGAGGGUGAGAAUCCCGUCUAUGAUUGCGAUUUGUAGCUUUGUGAUACACUUUCAAGGAGUCGGGUUGUUUGGGAAUGCAGCCCAAAACGGGAGGUAAAUUUCUUCUAAGGCUAAAUAUUGGCGAGAGACCGAUAGCGAACAAGUACCGUGAGGGAAAGAUGAAAAGAACUUUGAAAAGAGAGUUAAACAGUACGUGAAAUUGUCAAAAGGGAAGCGUUUAACACCAGUGUUGUUUUCUGAAAAUCAACCUCUGUUAGCUUUAUGCAUGUUUGUUUAGACCUAAUCAGCUAUCUUGCAUGUUCUAUUGUUUGCAGUGGUGCACUUUUCAGUUACAGGUCAACAUCAGUUUCUUUUGUUGUAAAAGGGUCAUUGGAAGGUGGCUUUCUUUUCGGAGAAAGUGUUUAUAGCCUUUGGCCUCUGCAAUCGAAGAGACUGAGGUCUGCAGCGUAGACUCUUCGGGGUUAGAUACAUUUGUGCUAAGUUAUAGCUUUUUAUAGACAACUUGUUGACUAUAAUUAGUCUUGUAGCUUACUCGCUUAUGCUAUUUUACCUACGCUUAGGAUGUUGACGCAUGAGAUAUACGC
This 772-nucleotide ribosomal RNA is filed under the name uncultured Neocallimastigales. RNAcentral describes it as "partial large subunit ribosomal RNA". It matches the Rfam family "Eukaryotic large subunit ribosomal RNA", at positions 22 to 646 of the family's 3401-position model. The record is from RNAcentral. Lineage: Eukaryota; Fungi; Neocallimastigomycota; Neocallimastigomycetes; Neocallimastigales.